AAUGGACGAAAGUCUGAACCAGCCAUGCCGCGUGCAGGAGGACUGCCUAUGGGUUGUAAACUGCUUUUAUUUGGGAAGAACCUCUCUACGUGUAGAGGGCUGACGGUACCAAACGAAUAAGGACCGGCUAACUCCGUGCCAGCAGCCGCGGUAAUACGGAGGGUCCAAGCGUUAUCCGGAUUUAUUGGGUUUAAAGGGUUCGUAGGCGGGAUAUUAAGUCAGUGGUGAAAACCUGCAGCUCAACUGCAGACCUGCCAUUGAUACUGGUAUUCUUGAAUCUAGUUGAGGUAGGCGGAAUGUGUCAUGUAGCGGUGAAAUGCAUAGAUAUGACACAGAACACCGAUUGCGAAGGCAGCUUACUAAACUAGUAUUGACGCUAAUGAACGAAAGCGUGGGGAGCGAACAGGAUU
Molecule: ribosomal RNA, 410 nt
Filed under: uncultured Flavobacteriia bacterium
Lineage: Bacteria; Pseudomonadati; Bacteroidota; Flavobacteriia
Description: bacterial SSU rRNA
Rfam family: Bacterial small subunit ribosomal RNA
Source: RNAcentral